UUGCACCGGGGAUUAGUGGCGAACGGGUGAGUAACACGUGAGUAACCUGCCCUGGACUCUGGGAUAACCCCGAGAAAUCGGAGCUAAUACCGGAUAGGACCUGGAACCGCAUGGUUUUGGGUGGAAAGUUUUUCGGUCUGGGAUGGACUCGCGGCCUAUCAGCUUGUUGGUGAGGUAAUGGCUCACCAAGGCGUCGACGGGUAGCCGGCCUGAGAGGGUGACCGGCCACACUGGGACUGAGACACGGCCCAGACUCCUACGGGAGGCAGCAGUGGGGAAUAUUGCACAAUGGGCGCAAGCCUGAUGCAGCAACGCCGCGUGAGGGAUGACGGCCUUCGGGUUGUAAACCUCUUUUAGUAAGGAAGAAGGGGAGCUUGCUCCUUGACGGUACUUGCAGAAAAAGCACCGGCUAACUACGUGCCAGCAGCCGCGGUAAUACGUAGGGUGCGAGCGUUGUCCGGAAUUAUUGGGCGUAAAGAGCUCGUAGGCGGUUUGUCACGUCUGCUGUGAAAUCCCGAGGCUCAACCUCGGGCCUGCAGUGGGUACGGGCAGACUGGAGUGCGGUAGGGGAGAUUGGAAUUCCUGGUGUAGCGGUGGAAUGCGCAGAUAUCAGGAGGAACACCGAUGGCGAAGGCAGAUCUCUGGGCCGUAACUGACGCUGAGGAGCGAAAGCGUGGGGAGCGAACAGGAUUAGAUACCCUGGUAGUCCACGCCGUAAACGUUGGGCGCUAGAUGUGGGGACCUUUCCACGGUUUCCGUGUCGUAGCUAACGCAUUAAGCGCCCCGCCUGGGGAGUACGGCCGCAAGGCUAAAACUCAAAGGAAUUGACGGGGGCCCGCAUGCGGAUUAAUUCGAUGCAACGCGAAGAACCUUACCAAGGCUUGACAUAACCGAGAACGCCGCAGAAAUGUGGAACUCUUUGGACACUCGGUUACAGGUGGUGCAUGGUUGUCGUCAGCUCGUGUCGUGAGAUGUUGGGUUAAGUCCCGCAACGAGCGCAACCCUCGUCGUAUGUUGCCAGCACGUAAUGGUGGGAACUCAUAUGAGACUGCCGGGGUCAACUCGGAGGAAGGUGGGGAUGACGUCAAAUCAUCAUGCCCCUUAUGUCUUGGGCUUCACGCAUGCUACAAUGGCCGGUACAAAGGGUUGCGAUGUCGUAAGGCGGAGCGAAUCCCAAAAAGCCGGUCUCAGUUCGGAUUGAGGUCUGCAACUCGACCUCAUGAAGUCGGAGUCGCUAGUAAUCGCAGAUCAGCAACGCUGCGGUGAAUACGUUCCCGGGCCUUGUACACACCGCCCGUCAAGUCA
RNAcentral lists this ribosomal RNA (1305 nucleotides) under Agromyces sp. RNAcentral describes it as "bacterial SSU rRNA". It matches the Rfam family "Bacterial small subunit ribosomal RNA", at positions 80 to 1404 of the family's 1533-position model. Lineage: Bacteria; Bacillati; Actinomycetota; Actinomycetes; Micrococcales; Microbacteriaceae. The record is from RNAcentral.